This 465-nucleotide ribosomal RNA is filed under the name uncultured bacterium. Its description in RNAcentral is "partial 16S ribosomal RNA". It matches the Rfam family "Bacterial small subunit ribosomal RNA", at positions 338 to 795 of the family's 1533-position model. The record is from RNAcentral.
CCUACGGGGGGCAGCAGUAGGGAAUCUUCCACAAUGGGCGAAAGCCUGAUGGAGCAACGCCGCGUGGGUGAAGAAGGUCUUCGGAUCGUAAAACCCUGUUGUUAGAGAAGAAAGUGCGUGAGAGUAACUGUUCACGUUUCGACGGUAUCUAACCAGAAAGCCACGGCUAACUACGUGACAGCAGCCGCGGUAAUACGUAGGUGGCAAGCGUUAUCCGGAUUUAUUGGGCGUAAGGGGAACGCAGGCGGUCUUUUAAGUAUGAUGUGAAAGCCUUCGGUUUAACCGGAGUAGUGCAUUGGAAACUGGGCGACUUGAGUGCAGAAGAGGAGAGUGGAACUCCAUGUGUAGCGGUGAAAUGCGUAGAUAUAUGGAAGAACACCAGUGGCGAAAGCGGCUCUCUGGUCUGUAACUGACGCUGAGGUUCGAAAGCGUGGGUAGCAAACAGGAUUAGAUACCCCUGUAGUC